AUUGAACGCUGGCGGCAGGCCUAACACAUGCAAGUCGAGCGGAUGAAGGGAGCUUGCUCCUGGAUUCAGCGGCGGACGGGUGAGUAAUGCCUAGGAAUCUGCCUGGUAGUGGGGGAUAACGUCCGGAAACGGGCGCUAAUACCGCAUACGUCCUGAGGGAGAAAGUGGGUGAUCUUCGGACCUCACGCUAUCAGAUGAGCCUAGGUCGGUGUAGCUAGUUGGUGGGGUAAAGGCCUGCCAAGGCGACGAUCCGUAAAUGGUCGGAGAGGAUGAUCAGUCACCCUGGAACUGAGACACGGUCCAGGCUACUACGGGAGGCAGCAGUGGGGAAUGUUGGACAGUGGGCGAAAGCCUGAUCCAGCCAGGCCGCGUGUGUGAAGAAGGUCUUCGGAUUGUAAAGCACUUUAAGUUGGGAGGAAGGGCAGUAAGUUAAUACCUUGCUGUUUUGACGUUACCAACAGAAUAAGCACCGGCUAACUUCGUG
RNAcentral lists this ribosomal RNA (484 nucleotides) under uncultured bacterium. RNAcentral describes it as "partial 16S ribosomal RNA". It matches the Rfam family "Bacterial small subunit ribosomal RNA", at positions 30 to 507 of the family's 1533-position model. The record is from RNAcentral.